AGUAGUAAAUUAAGAAUAGAGAG
This 23-nucleotide non-coding RNA is filed under the name Cricetulus griseus (Chinese hamster). The record is from RNAcentral. Lineage: Eukaryota; Metazoa; Chordata; Mammalia; Rodentia; Cricetidae.